RNAcentral lists this ribosomal RNA (1179 nucleotides) under Fusichloridium fusiforme. RNAcentral describes it as "eukaryotic LSU rRNA". It matches the Rfam family "Eukaryotic large subunit ribosomal RNA", at positions 1 to 1214 of the family's 3401-position model. The record is from RNAcentral. Lineage: Eukaryota; Fungi; Ascomycota; Sordariomycetes; Chaetosphaeriales; Chaetosphaeriaceae.
UUGACCUCGGAUCAGGUAGGAUACCCGCUGAACUUAAGCAUAUCAAUAAGCGGAGGAAAAGAAACCAACAGGGAUUGCCCCAGUAACGGCGAGUGAAGCGGCAACAGCUCAAAUUUGAAAUCUGGCCCCAGGCCCGAGUUGUAAUUUGCAGAGGAUGCUUCGGGCGCGGCGCCUUCCAAGUCCCCUGGAACGGGGCGCCAGAGAGGGUGAGAGCCCCGUACUGUCGGACGCCAAGCCUAUGUGAAGCUCCUUCGACGAGUCGAGUAGUUUGGGAAUGCUGCUCAAAAUGGGAGGUAGACCCCUUCUAAAGCUAAAUACCGGCCAGAGACCGAUAGCGCACAAGUAGAGUGAUCGAAAGAUGAAAAGCACUUUGAAAAGAGGGUUAAACAGCACGUGAAAUUGUUGAAAGGGAAGCGCUCGUGACCAGACUUGCGCCGGGGUGAUCAUCUGGCGUUCUCGCCAGUGCACUCGCCCCGGCUCAGGCCAGCGUCGGUUCGCGUGGGGGGAUAAAGGCGCCGGGAAUGUGGCUCCUCCGGGAGUGUUAUAGCCCAGCACGUCAUGCCCCCGCGCGGACCGAGGUUCGCGCUCUGCAAGGACGCUGGCGUAAUGGUUACUAGCGACCCGUCUUGAAACACGGACCAAGGAGUCGAGGUUCUGCGCGAGUGUUUGGGUGUCAAACCCGCACGCGUAAUGAAAGUGAACGUAGGUGGGAGCUUCGGCGCACCACCGACCGAUCCUGAUGUUCUCGGAUGGAUUUGAGUAGGAGCGUGGGGCCUCGGACCCGAAAGAUGGUGAACUAUGCUUGGAUAGGGUGAAGUCAGAGGAAACUCUGAUGGAGGCUCGCAGCGGUUCUGACGUGCAAAUCGAUCGUCAAAUCUGAGCAUGGGGGCGAAAGACUAAUCGAACCAUCUAGUAGCUGGUUACCGCCGAAGUUUCCCUCAGGAUAGCAGUGUUGUCUUCAGUUUUAUGAGGUAAAGCGAAUGAUUAGGGACUCGGGGGCGCUAUAUUGCCUUCAUCCAUUCUCAAACUUUAAAUAUGUAAGAAGCCCUUGUUACUUAAUUGAACGUGGGCACUCGAAUGCAUCAACACUAGUGGGCCAUUUUUGGUAAGCAGAACUGGCGAUGUGGGAUGAACCAUACGCGGGGUUAAGGUGCCGGAGUGGACGCUCAUCAGACACCA